UCCGAAUUGGUGUAGUGGCUAACAUUUGACGCUCUCAACUGUGCUCUUUCCUCACUUCAGAGGUUGAGAUAUGGAAAAGUGCCGUCAAGCCCGGGGUUCGAUUCCCCGAUUCGGAG
Non-coding RNA from Xylaria cubensis, 116 nucleotides. The record is from the annotation of a GenBank genome assembly. Lineage: Eukaryota; Fungi; Ascomycota; Sordariomycetes; Xylariales; Xylariaceae.